GAUGAACGCUGGCGGCGUGCCUAAUACAUGCAAGUCGAGCGAACGGACGAGAAGCUUGCUUCUCUGACGUUAGCGGCGGACGGGUGAGUAACACGUGGAUAACCUACCUAUAAGACUGGGAUAACUUCGGGAAACCGGAGCUAAUACCGGAUAAUAUUUUGAACCGCAUGGUUCAAAAGUGAAAGACGGUCUUGCUGUCACUUAUAGAUGGAUCCGCGCUGCAUUAGCUAGUUGGUAAGGUAACGGCUUACCAAGGCAACGAUGCAUAGCCGACCUGAGAGGGUGAUCGGCCACACUGGAACUGAGACACGGUCCAGACUCCUACGGGAGGCAGCAGUAGGGAAUCUUCCGCAAUGGGCGAAAGCCUGACGGAGCAACGCCGCGUGAGUGAUGAAGGUCUUCGGAUCGUAAAACUCUGUUAUUAGGGAAGAACAAAUGUGUAAGUAACUAUGCACAUCUUGACGGUACCUAAUCAGAAAGCCACGGCUAACUACGUG
This 497-nucleotide ribosomal RNA is filed under the name uncultured bacterium. RNAcentral's name for it is "partial 16S ribosomal RNA". It matches the Rfam family "Bacterial small subunit ribosomal RNA", at positions 28 to 507 of the family's 1533-position model. The record is from RNAcentral.